AUGGUGCGCGGUCACCACGACCAGCAGCUUGCCACGACGGUCGCAGCACCGAUUCCUGUCAUUGACCUCUGCUGUCUUUUCAAGAAAGACGGUGCGGCCGUCGGUGAGGCAUCCAAGCUUCGGUCUGCGCUCGAGUCGUGGGGCCUCUUCCUUCAUGUUGCUUCAUAUGCACGUUCCUGCAUGCAGCUAAGUAAGCAUGGCAUAGAAGCCACCAUGAUGGACGACAUGAUGACCGCGUCGAGGGAGUUUUUCUGGCGGCCACUCGAAGACAAGCAUAGGUACACCAACCUGAUCGACGGCGAGCAGUUCCAGUUUGAGGGGUACGGGAACGACCGGGUGAGAUCGCCAGACCAGAUCCUAGACUAG
RNAcentral lists this ribosomal RNA (366 nucleotides) under Triticum aestivum (bread wheat). Its description in RNAcentral is "partial small subunit ribosomal RNA". Lineage: Eukaryota; Viridiplantae; Streptophyta; Magnoliopsida; Poales; Poaceae. The record is from RNAcentral.